Molecule: long non-coding RNA, 285 nt
Organism: Amphimedon queenslandica
Lineage: Eukaryota; Metazoa; Porifera; Demospongiae; Haplosclerida; Niphatidae
Exons: 4
Source: RefSeq, a predicted model, not a curated record
UAACGAUAAGCUCCACCUACAAACCUAUUUAGCCACACCUCCUGAUUACUGUAGAGAUUUGAGGUACUUUAUAGUCUGUGUAUUAGUGUAUCAGUACCGUAUAUACUCGUAUUGAAUCAGUUGGCAUGGUAUUGGAUGAUGUCAGUACAGGGAGGAUCACGUGAUAGGUCACAUGACUUGAUAUCAACUGCCGUUCCUCGUGUGAACGGGUGGGAGUGUCCCUGGCACCCACUUCAACAAGUGAAGUACUGCCAUAUUGAUGACCUUCUUUUUGACAUUUUGGAU